GUGCAUUGUAAGGGCCCUUUCGAAAGACUGGGCUUCAUUUUCUUCACAUGUCUUCAAUUUGCAAGUCUAACAUUCAGAGUAUAAUCAAAAACUCGAAUACAACUUUCAACAACGGAUCUCUUGGCUCUCGCAUCGAUGAAGAACGCAGCGAAAUGCGAUACGUAAUGUGAAUUGCAGAAUUCAGUGAAUCAUCGAAUCUUUGAACGCACAUUGCGCCUUCUGGUAUUCCGGAAGGCAUGCUUGUUUGAGUAUCAGUAACAACCUCAGCCAAGCUCUCUCUCGCUUCUUUGGGGCGCAGAAAGCAAAAGCUGGAUUUGAGCAAAGUCCCUUGGGAUUCAAUUCGGACGACCUUCGGGGAGGCCCAAUUGAAGCUGUGGGGGAUGCUUGAAAUACAGGUUCGGACUGACCAAAUGUCCUGGGCUACAAGCAUUUCAUACUUGGUCCCGUUAAACGGAUCAUUUCCAUUGCUGCAGCCAACAUACAAACAGGAUCAAACGUGUCCAGUAUCCGACUGAUGCAGGAAGUUGGAACCAACAGAGCAAUCUGGGUGGU
Molecule: ribosomal RNA, 552 nt
Filed under: uncultured fungus
Lineage: Eukaryota; Fungi
Description: eukaryotic LSU rRNA
Rfam family: 5.8S ribosomal RNA (bases 101-254)
Source: RNAcentral